RNAcentral lists this ribosomal RNA (250 nucleotides) under uncultured bacterium. RNAcentral describes it as "partial 16S ribosomal RNA". It matches the Rfam family "Bacterial small subunit ribosomal RNA", at positions 28 to 261 of the family's 1533-position model. The record is from RNAcentral.
GACGAACGCUGGCGGCGUGCUUAACACAUGCAAGUCGAACGGGAUUUAGUAGACAGAAGCUUCGGUGGAAGAUUACUAAUGAGAGUGGCGAACGGGUGAGUAACGCGUGAGCAACCUGCCUAUGACAGUGGGAUAGCCUCGGGAAACCGGGAUUAAUACCGCAUAAAAUCGUAGAAACACAUGUUUUAACGGUCAAAGAUUUAUCGGUCAUAGAUGGGCUCGCGUCUGAUUAGCUAGUUGGUGAGAUAAC